Small nuclear RNA from Ochotona curzoniae (black-lipped pika), 107 nucleotides. The record is from RefSeq and is a predicted model, not a curated record. Lineage: Eukaryota; Metazoa; Chordata; Mammalia; Lagomorpha; Ochotonidae.
GUGCUCGCUUCGGCAGCAUAUUUAUAAAAAUUGGAACGAUACACAAAAGAUUAGAAUGGCCCCUGUGCAAGGAUGACAUGCAAAUUCGUGAAGUGUUCCAUAUUUUU